Otolemur garnettii (small-eared galago) is the source of this 156-nucleotide small nuclear RNA. Its record names the gene U1. It matches the Rfam family "U1 spliceosomal RNA". From Rfam's summary of the family: U1 is a small nuclear RNA (snRNA) component of the spliceosome (involved in pre-mRNA splicing). Its 5' end forms complementary base pairs with the 5' splice junction, thus defining the 5' donor site of an intron. NCBI's taxonomy places the organism in Eukaryota, Metazoa, Chordata, Mammalia, Primates, Galagidae. The record is from Ensembl.
AUAUUUAACCUGGCAAGGGAGAUGCCAUGGUUAUGAAGGUGGUUUUCCCAGGGCAAAGCCUAUCCAUCCCACUCUGGAUGUGCUGACUCGUGUGAUUUCCCCAAAUGUGGGGAAUUGAACUGUGUAAUUUGGGCACACAAGGUGGCUCACACCUGU